AGCGAAUAGAUACCCGGGUAGUCCACGCUGUAAACGAUGGGUGCUGGACGUUGGUGGGUUUACCUGCCGGUGUCGCAGCUAAACGCGUUAAGCACCCGCCUGGGGAGUACGGUCGCAAGAUUAAAACUCAAAGGAAUUGACGGGGGCCCGGCACAAGCGGUGGAGCAUGUGGUUUAAUUCGACGCAACGCGAAGAACCUUACCAGCUCUUGACAUGGGAAGUAUGGUCUCUGGCGACGGAGAUCUUCAGUUCGGCUGGCUUCCACACAGGUGCUGCAUGGCUGUCGUCAGCUCGUGUCGUGAGAUGUUGGGUUAAGUCCCGCAACGAGCGCAACCCUCGUCUCCAGUUGCCAUCGGGUUAUGCCGGGCACUUUGGAGAAACUGCCGAUGACAAGUCGGAGGAAGGUGGGGUAUGACGUCAAGUCCUCAUGGCCUUUUAUGGGUCGUGGGCCGACACACGUGCUACAAUGGCGGUGACAGAGGGCAG
Molecule: ribosomal RNA, 486 nt
Filed under: uncultured bacterium
Lineage: Bacteria
Description: bacterial SSU rRNA
Rfam family: Bacterial small subunit ribosomal RNA
Source: RNAcentral